GAUGAAGAACGCAGCGAAAUGCGAUAAGUAAUGUGAAUUGCAGAAUUCAGUGAAUCAUCGAAUCUUUGAACGCACAUUGCGCCCGUCAGUAUUCUGGCGGGCAUGCCUGUUCGAGCGUCAUUACGCCCCUCAAGUCCCCUGUGGACUUGGUGUUGGGGAUCGGCGAGGCUGGUUUUCCAGCACAGCCGUCCCUUAAAUUAAUUGGCGGUCUCGCCGUGGCCCUCCUCUGCGCAGUAGUAAAACACUCGCAACAGGAGCCCGGCGCGGUCCACUGCCGUAAAACCCCCCAACUUUUUAUAGUUGACCUCGAAUCAGGUAGGACUACCCGCUGAACUUAAGCAUAUUAAUAAGCGGAGGA
This 358-nucleotide unclassified non-coding RNA is filed under the name soil metagenome. Its description in RNAcentral is "partial contains 5.8S ribosomal RNA, internal transcribed spacer 2, and large subunit ribosomal RNA". The stretch from base 1 to 120 matches the Rfam family "5.8S ribosomal RNA", at positions 35 to 154 of the family's 154-position model. The record is from RNAcentral.